Molecule: non-coding RNA, 29 nt
Filed under: Mus musculus (house mouse)
Lineage: Eukaryota; Metazoa; Chordata; Mammalia; Rodentia; Muridae
Source: RNAcentral
UCUGUCACUUUUAGGUAGAGAGGCCAAAU